Molecule: transfer RNA, 73 nt
Filed under: Anaerolinea sp.
Lineage: Bacteria; Bacillati; Chloroflexota; Anaerolineae; Anaerolineales; Anaerolineaceae
Description: tRNA-Met
Rfam family: tRNA
About the family: Transfer RNA (tRNA) molecules are approximately 80 nucleotides in length. Their secondary structure includes four short double-helical elements and three loops (D, anti-codon, and T loops).
Source: RNAcentral
GGGCCCAUAGCUCAGCGGUAAGAGCGGCCGGCUCAUAACCGGUUGGUCCUGGGUUCGAAUCCCGGUGGGCCCA